UCAAGCUACUAAGGGCAUACGGUGGAUGCCUAGGCGCCAAGAGCCGAAGAAGGACGCGGUAAGCUGCGAAAAGCCACGGGGAACUGCAAGCAAGUAUUGAUCCGUGGAUAUCCGAAUGGGGAAACCCGGCCAUCGUCAUGGAUGGUCACCCGCAAGGGAGGGAACCUGGGGAACUGAAACAUCUAAGUACCCGGAGGAAGAGAAAUCAAACGAGAUGCCCACAGUAGCGGCGAGCGAAGAGGGCAGAGCCCAAACCGAGAAGCUCCGGCUUUUCGGGGUUGAGGACCGGCAGAAUCGAAGUCAGGCCUAGUUGAAUUACCUGGAAAGGUAAGCGAGAGAGGGUAAAAGCCCCGUAGACGAAAGGCAGAGCAGAGAGGCCGAGAUCCAGAGUACCACGAAGCACGAGGAAUUUUGUGGGAAGCAGGGGGGACCACCCUCCAAGGCUAAAAACUACUUGGCGACCGAUAGCGCAUAGUACCGUGAGGGAAAGGUGAAAAGAACCCCGGGAGGGGAGUGAAAUAGUACCUGAAACCGUAUGUCUACAAGCAGUCGAAGCGAAAGCGACGGCGUGCCUAUUGAAGAAUGAACCAACGAGUUAUCUGCACUAGCGAGGUUAAGUGGAAGACACGGAGCCGCAGCGAAAGCGAGUCUUAAGAGGGCGCUAGUUAGUGUAGGUAGACCCGAAACCGCAGUGAUCUACCCAUGUCCAGGUUGAAGCGCAGGUAAAAUUGCGUGGAGGACCGAACCGGUGAGCGUUGAAAAGCUUUCGGAUGAGAUGUGGGUAGGGGUGAAAUUCCAAUCGAACGCGGAGAUAGCUGGUUCUCCCCGAAAUAGCUUUAGGGCUAGCCUGAGGUAGUAAGUAUAGGCGGUAGAGCACUGAUCGGGCUAGGGGCCGUAAAGGUUACCGAACCCUGUCAAACUCCGAAUGGAUAUACUGUAGAGCCUUGGAGUCAGACUACGAGUGAUAAGAUCCGUGGUCAAAAGGGAAACAGCCCAGACCACCAGCUAAGGUCCCCAAUGUCGUACUAAGUGGAAAAGGAUGUGGGGUUUCAUAAACAACCAGGAUGUUGGCUCAGAAGCAGCCACCAUUUAAAGAGUGCGUAAUAGCUCACUGGUCGAGAGGCCCUGCGCCGAAGAUUCCCGGGGCUAAAGUAUGGAACCGAAGCUACGGAUGCGGUACUUGUACCGCGUGGUAGAGGAGCGUUCCCAUUGGGUUGAAGUCGUCCUGGAAGGGACGGUGGACUGGUGGGAAGUGAGAAUGUUGGCAUGAGUAGCGAAAAGAUAGGUGAGAAUCCUAUCCACCGAAAGCAUAAGGAUUCCUGAGCAACGAUCGUCGUCUCAGGGUAAGUCGGGACCUAAUCCGAGGCAGAGAGCGUAGGAGAUGGACAACUGGUUGAUAUUCCAGUACCGGUAGUAAUUGUUUGAGCAAUGGAGUGACACAGAAGGGCAGGCAAGCAUGCGAAUGGAAGAGCAUGUGUAAGCGUGUAGGGUGGUGCAUAGGCAAAUCCGUGCACUGAAAGCCUGAGGCGUGAUGCGGAGUGAGCAGAGAUGCGAGCGAAGUUGUUGACCCCACACUGUCGAGAAAAGCUUCUAGUGAGAGAGCUACCGCCCGUACCGUAAACCGACACAGGUAUGCGGGGAGAGAAUCCUAAGGUGCGCGGGAGAACCCUCGUUAAGGAACUCGGCAAAAUGUACCCGUAACUUCGGGAUAAGGGUAGCCACUGUUGUGAAGUCCCACGCGGAUGGAGCAUAGAGUGGUCGCAGAGAAGAGGCCCAAGCGACUGUUUACCAUAAACACAGGUGCCUGCUAAAGCGAAAGCUGACGUAUAGGUGCUGACACCUGCCCAGUGCCGGAAGGUUAAGGAAGGAUGUUCGGAUUAGUCCAAAGCAUUCGACUGAAGCCCCGGUGAACGGCGGCCGUAACUAUAACGGUCCUAAGGUAGCGAAAUUCCUUGUCGGGU
This 1961-nucleotide ribosomal RNA is filed under the name human metagenome. RNAcentral describes it as "bacterial LSU rRNA". It matches the Rfam family "Bacterial large subunit ribosomal RNA", at positions 3 to 1977 of the family's 2925-position model. The record is from RNAcentral.